RNAcentral lists this ribosomal RNA (563 nucleotides) under uncultured bacterium. RNAcentral's name for it is "bacterial SSU rRNA". It matches the Rfam family "Bacterial small subunit ribosomal RNA", at positions 338 to 917 of the family's 1533-position model. The record is from RNAcentral.
CCUACGGGAGGCAGCAGUGGGGAAUCUUGCGCAAUGGGCGAAAGCCUGACGCAGCCAUGCCGCGUGAAUGAUGAAGGUCUUAGGAUUGUAAAAAUUCUUUCACCGGGGACGAUAAUGACGGUACCCGGAGAAGAAGCCCCGGCUAACUUCGUGCCAGCAGCCGCGGUAAUACGAAGGGGGGCUAGCGUUGCUCGGAAUUACUGGGCGUAAAGGGAGCGUAGGCGGAUAGUUUAGUCAGAGGUGAAAGCCCAGGGCUCAACCUUGGAAUUGCCUUUGAUACUGGCUAUCUUGAGUAUGGGAGAGGUUAGCGGAACUCCGAGUGUAGAGGUGAAAUUCGUAGAUAUUCGGAAGAACACCAGUGGCGAAGGCGGCUAACUGGCCCAUUACUGACGCUGAGGCUCGAAAGCGUGGGGAGCAAACAGGAUUAGAUACCCUGGUAGUCCACGCCGUAAACGAUGAGUGCUAGUUGUCGGCAUGCAUGCAUGUCGGUGACGCAGCUAACGCAUUAAGCACUCCGCCUGGGGAGUACGGUCGCAAGAUUAAAACUCAAAGGAAUUGACGGU